This is a non-coding RNA of Xyrichtys novacula (pearly razorfish), 550 nucleotides long. NCBI's taxonomy places the organism in Eukaryota, Metazoa, Chordata, Actinopteri, Labriformes, Labridae. The record is from the annotation of a GenBank genome assembly.
UUCUCUCUCACUCUGUCUGCCUGAUGAAUCACAGCGUCUCUCUCCCUCUGAAGGUGUGUGUGUGUGUGUGUGUGUGUAGGAGUUGAUUCCUUGUUCAUUUCCUGUUUUAUCUUGUAGGAGUUGAUUCCUUGUUUGUUUCCUGUUUUAUUUUGUAGGAGUUGAUUCCUUGUUCAUUUCCUGUUUUAUUUUGUAGGAGUUGAUUCCUUGUUCAUUUCCUGUUUUAUUUUGUAGGAGUUGAUUCCUUGUUCAUUUCCUGUUUUAUUUUGUAGGAGUUGAUUCCUUGUUCAUUUCCUGUUUUAUUUUGUAGGAGUUGAUUCCUUGUUUAUUUGCUGUUUUAUUUUGUAGGAGUUGAUUCCUUGUUUAUUUCCUGUUUUAUUUUGUAGGAGUUGAUUCCUUGUUCAUUUCCUGUUUUAUUUUGUAGGAGUUGAUUCCUUGUUUAUUUCCUGUUUUAUUUUGUAGGAGUUGAUUCCUUGUUUAUUUCCUGUUUUAUUUUGUAGGAGUUGAUUCCUUGUUUAUUUCCUGUUUUAUUUUGUAGGAGUUGAUUCCUUGU